RNAcentral lists this ribosomal RNA (446 nucleotides) under uncultured bacterium. RNAcentral's name for it is "bacterial SSU rRNA". It matches the Rfam family "Bacterial small subunit ribosomal RNA", at positions 329 to 792 of the family's 1533-position model. The record is from RNAcentral.
GUCCAGACUCCUACGGGAGGCAGCAGUGGGGAAUAUUGCGCAAUGGGGGAAACCCUGACGCAGCAACGCCGCGUGAGUGAAGAAGUAUCUCGGUAUGUAAAGCUCUAUCAGCGGGGAAGAAGGAAGACGGUACCCGACUAAGAAGCCCCGGCUAACUACGUGCCAGCAGCCGCGGUAAUACGUAGGGGGCGAGCGUUAUCCGGAUUUACUGGGUGUAAAGGGAGCGUAGGCGGGGAUGCAAGUUGGGUGUUAAAUCUACCGGCUCAACUGGUAGUCGCACUCAAAACUGCAGCUCUUGAGUGAAGUAGAGGCAGGCGGAAUUCCUAGUGUAGCGGUGAAAUGCGUAGAUAUUAGGAGGAACACCAGUGGCGAAGGCGGCCUGCUGGGCUUUUACUGACGCUGAGGCUCGAAAGUGUGGGGAGCAAACAGGAUUAGAUACCCUGGUA